CCUUCCAAGGUGCUGGGAUUACAGGCAUGAGGCACUGCGCCAGCCUUCAACCAUGUUUUCAUUUCUUUAUUUUUGAGACAUGGUCUCCAUCUGUUGCCCAGGCUAGAGUGCAGUGAUGCAAUCAUGGCUCACUGCAGCCUCUACCUUCUGGGCACAAUUGAUCCUCCACAGCCAGCUAUGGGCAGAUCAGGCCAGCACCUCCUAAACCAGCCUGUACCUCCACUUCUCUGUGCUGAUUGUACCAUUCUGGUGGGGAAAUGUUGAUAAGGGGAGAGGCUCUGCAAGUGUGGGGAAGAGGGUAUGUGGGAAAUCUCUGUAUGAAAAAAAAAAAAAGGAUACUGAGGAGUAGGGUAACAAGCUCAUACCACAACCUGAAGGGCAGGUCAGCAAAGGAACUUUACAAUCAUCCCUGCAAAAAUAGGGGAGAGGAGCUGGUAGACAAGUCCACAGGGAUACCAGGGAGGCAGAAGUUGCAGUGAGCCAAGAUCAUGCCACUGCACUUCAAAGAACAAAACAUAGAUUGGUCAUUUCAAAAUUACUUUUCUUGUGGGGCAGGAACAGAAAAACAGAACAAUAGAGAAAUAACCGAUUGGUUACAUUCCAUCAUUUGUCAGAGCACCGAUGACAUCAGAGCAGCAUGGAGCCUCUGGAAAACUCCACUGGAUACUAGUGAGAGACUAAGAGUUAAAAGAACAGGCCAGGUGUGGUGGCUCAUGCCUGUAAUCCCAGCACUUUGGGAGGCUGAGGCGGGCGGAUCCUGAGGUCAGGAGUUCGAGACCAGUUUGACCAACAUGGUGAAACCCCAUCUCUACUAAAAAUACAAAAAUUAGCCAGGCAUGGUGGCACGCACCUGUAAUCCCAGCUACUGAGGAGGCUGAGGCAGGAGAAUCACUUGAACCUGGGAGGCGGAGGUUGCAGUGAGCCGAGAUCGCACCACUGCACUCUAGCCUGGGCGACAGAGCAAGACUCUGUCUCAAAAAAAAAAAAAAAAAAAUUACAAAUGACAUCGUAGUAUUCUUAUGAAAGUAGUUUUGACCUUGCAAUCUUCCUCCAGGGGUCCUUGGACCACACUUUCCGAAACUUUUAGAAACCCUGUUACAGAUAAUGAAAUAGACAGUUGGCCACACUUUCAGAAACUUUUAGAAACCCUGUUACAGAUAAUGAAAUAGACAGUUGAUAGAUUGUGACAAAACCAAGCACACAGACCUGGGCUCUUGACACCAAACCUGGGCCCUUUCUUUUAAAGCAGUCUGUGUCCCAGUGAAAUGCUAUCGCCUGGUGUCUCCUCUCCCCCUCCAGCCCCACCCCUCACUUCGCCAGCCUACCUACCUGGGCUGCCGUGCUUGUGUUUGACUGUAAAUAGCCAUUCAAUCUUGGAAUGUGUUUC
Molecule: long non-coding RNA, 1387 nt
Filed under: Homo sapiens (human)
Lineage: Eukaryota; Metazoa; Chordata; Mammalia; Primates; Hominidae
Description: non-protein coding lnc-CD24-3:5
Source: RNAcentral